RNAcentral lists this ribosomal RNA (253 nucleotides) under uncultured bacterium. RNAcentral describes it as "partial 16S ribosomal RNA". It matches the Rfam family "Bacterial small subunit ribosomal RNA", at positions 524 to 776 of the family's 1533-position model. The record is from RNAcentral.
UACAGAGGGGGCAAGCGUUGUUCGGAAUUACUGGGCGUAAAGGGCGCGUAGGCGGCCUACUAAGUCGAACGUGAAAUCCCUGGGCUCAACCCAGGAACUGCGUCCGAUACUGGUUGGCUUGAAUCCGGGAGAGGGAUGCGGAAUUCCAGGUGUAGCGGUGAAAUGCGUAGAUAUCUGGAGGAACACCGGUGGCGAAGGCGGCAUCCUGGACCGGCAUUGACGCUGAGGCGCGAAAGCCAGGGGAGCAAACGGG